RNAcentral lists this ribosomal RNA (2907 nucleotides) under Providencia rettgeri. RNAcentral's name for it is "23S ribosomal RNA". It matches the Rfam family "Bacterial large subunit ribosomal RNA". The record is from RNAcentral. Lineage: Bacteria; Pseudomonadati; Pseudomonadota; Gammaproteobacteria; Enterobacterales; Morganellaceae.
GGUUAAGCGACUAAGCGUACACGGUGGAUGCCUAGGCAAUCAGAGGCGAUGAAGGACGUGCUAAUCUGCGAUAAGCGUCGGUAAGGUGAUAUGAACCGUGAUAACCGACGAUUUCCGAAUGGGGAAACCCAGUGCAAUCCGUUGCACUAUCGUUUGAUGAAUACAUAGUCAAACGAAGCGAACCGGGGGAACUGAAACAUCUCAGUACCCCGAGGAAAAGAAAUCAACCGAGAUUCCCCUAGUAGCGGCGAGCGAACGGGGAGCAGCCCAGAGUCUUAAUCAACAUUAGCAUCAGGAGAACGGUCUGGAAAGGCCGGCAGUAAAGGGUGAUAGCCCCGUAUCCGAAGGUGUUAGUGUUGUGAACUCGACGAGUAGGGCGGGACACGUGUUAUCCUGUCUGAAUAUGGGGGGACCAUCCUCCAAGGCUAAAUACUCCUGAUUGACCGAUAGUGAACCAGUACCGUGAGGGAAAGGCGAAAAGAACCCCGGCGAGGGGAGUGAAAUAGAACCUGAAACCGUGUACGUACAAGCAGUGGGAGCACCUUUAGGGGUGUGACUGCGUACCUUUUGUAUAAUGGGUCAGCGACUUAUAUUCUGUAGCAAGGUUAACCGUAUAGGGGAGCCGUAGGGAAACCGAGUCUUAACUGGGCGAAUGAGUUGCAGGGUAUAGACCCGAAACCCGGUGAUCUAGCCAUGGGCAGGUUGAAGGUUGGGUAACACUAACUGGAGGACCGAACCGACUAAUGUUGAAAAAUUAGCGGAUGACUUGUGGCUGGGGGUGAAAGGCCAAUCAAACCGGGAGAUAGCUGGUUCUCCCCGAAAGCUAUUUAGGUAGCGCCUCGUGAACUCAUCUUCGGGGGUAGAGCACUGUUUCGACUAGGGGGUCAUCCCGACUUACCAACUCGAUGCAAACUACGAAUACCGAAGAAUGUUAUCACGGGAGACACACGGCGGGUGCUAACGUUCGUCGUGAAGAGGGAAACAACCCAGACCGCCAGCUAAGGUCCCAAAGUCAUAGUUAAGUGGGAAACGAAGUGGGAAGGCUCAGACAGCCAGGAUGUUGGCUUAGAAGCAGCCAUCAUUUAAAGAAAGCGUAAUAGCUCACUGGUCGAGUCGGCCUGCGCGGAAGAUGUAACGGGGCUAAACUAUGCACCGAAGCUGCGGCAGCGAUAUGUAAAUAUUGUUGGGUAGGGGAGCGUUCUGUAAGCCUGUGAAGGUGUACUGUGAGGUAUGCUGGAGGUAUCAGAAGUGCGAAUGCUGACAUAAGUAACGAUAAUGCGGGUGAAAAACCCGCACGCCGGAAGACCAAGGGUUCCUGUCCAACGUUAAUCGGGGCAGGGUGAGUCGACCCCUAAGGCGAGGCAGAAAUGCGUAGUCGAUGGGAAACGGGUUAAUAUUCCCGUACUGGUGAUAAUUGCGAUGGGGGGACGGAGAAGGCUAGGCUAUCCGGGCGACGGUUGUCCCGGUUUAAGGAUGUAGGCAGGUGAAUUAGGCAAAUCCGGUUCACUACAUGCUGAGGUCCGAUGACGAGUCACUACGGUGAUGAAGUAGCUCAUGCCCCGCUUCCAGGAAAAGCCUCUAAGCUCUAGAUUAUCAUUAAUCGUACCCCAAACCGACACAGGUGGUCAGGUAGAGAAUACUCAGGCGCUUGAGAGAACUCGGGUGAAGGAACUAGGCAAAAUGGUGCCGUAACUUCGGGAGAAGGCACGCUGGCGCUAGGUGAAGUCCCUCGCGGAUGGAGCUGAAGCCAGUCGCAGAUACCAGCUGGCUGCAACUGUUUAUUAAAAACACAGCACUGUGCAAACACGAAAGUGGACGUAUACGGUGUGACGCCUGCCCGGUGCUGGAAGGUUAAUUGAUGGGGUUAUCCGUAAGGAGAAGCUCUUGAUCGAAGCCCCAGUAAACGGCGGCCGUAACUAUAACGGUCCUAAGGUAGCGAAAUUCCUUGUCGGGUAAGUUCCGACCUGCACGAAUGGCGUAAUGAUGGCCAGGCUGUCUCCACCCGAGACUCAGUGAAAUUGAACUCGCUGUGAAGAUGCAGUGUACCCGCGGCAAGACGGAAAGACCCCGUGAACCUUUACUAUAGCUUGACACUGAACAUUGAGCCUUGAUGUGUAGGAUAGGUGGGAGGCUUUGAAGUGUGGACGCCAGUCUGCAUGGAGCCAACCUUGAAAUACCACCCUUUAAUGUUUGAUGUUCUAACGUAGCCCCGUUAUCCGGGGUGCGGACAGUGUCUGGUGGGUAGUUUGACUGGGGCGGUCUCCUCCCAAAGAGUAACGGAGGAGCACGAAGGUUGGCUAAGCAUGGUCGGACAUCAUGCGGUUAGUGCAAAGGCAUAAGCCAGCUUGACUGCGAGAGUGACGGCUCGAGCAGGUACGAAAGUAGGUCUUAGUGAUCCGGUGGUUCUGAAUGGAAGGGCCAUCGCUCAACGGAUAAAAGGUACUCCGGGGAUAACAGGCUGAUACCGCCCAAGAGUUCAUAUCGACGGCGGUGUUUGGCACCUCGAUGUCGGCUCAUCACAUCCUGGGGCUGAAGUAGGUCCCAAGGGUACGGCUGUUCGCCGUUUAAAGUGGUACGCGAGCUGGGUUUAGAACGUCGUGAGACAGUUCGGUCCCUAUCUGCCGUGGGCGUUGGAAGAUUGAAAGGGGCUGCUCCUAGUACGAGAGGACCGGAGUGGACGCACCACUGGUGUUCGGGUUGUCAUGCCAAUGGCAUUGCCCGGUAGCUAAGUGCGGAAGAGAUAACCGCUGAAAGCAUCUAAGCGGGAAACUUGCCUUGAGAUGAGUCUUCCCUGACUCUUUAAGGGUCCUAAAGGAACGUUUAAGACUAAGACGUUGAUAGGUUGGGUGUGUAAGCGUAGCGAUAUGUUGAGCUAACCAAUACUAAUGAACCGUGAGGCUUAACCUG